RNAcentral lists this ribosomal RNA (675 nucleotides) under uncultured bacterium. RNAcentral describes it as "bacterial SSU rRNA". It matches the Rfam family "Bacterial small subunit ribosomal RNA", at positions 94 to 765 of the family's 1533-position model. The record is from RNAcentral.
AGUGGCGAACGGGUGAGUAACAUAUCGGAACGUACCUAGUAAUGGGGGAUAACUAGCCGAAAGGUUAGCUAAUACCGCAUACGCCCUGAGGGGGAAAGCGGGGGAUCGUAAGACCUCGCGUUAUUAGAGCGGCCGAUAUCUGAUUAGCUAGUUGGUGGGGUAAAGGCCUACCAAGGCGACGAUCAGUAGCUGGUCUGAGAGGACGACCAGCCACACUGGAACUGAGACACGGUCCAGACUCCUACGGGAGGCAGCAGUGGGGAAUUUUGGACAAUGGGCGCAAGCCUGAUCCAGCCAUUCCGCGUGAGUGAAGAAGGCCUUCGGGUUGUAAAGCUCUUUCGCAAGGGAAGAAACGAUGCAGUCGAAUAAACUGCGUUAAUGACGGUACCUUGAUAAGAAGCACCGGCUAACUACGUGCCAGCAGCCGCGGUAAUACGUAGGGUGCGAGCGUUAAUCGGAAUUACUGGGCGUAAAGCGUGCGCAGGCGGUUUUGUAAGUCAGAUGUGAAAUCCCCGGGCUCAACCUGGGAACUGCGUUUGAAACUACAAGGCUAGAGUGUAGCAGAGGGGGGUAGAAUUCCACGUGUAGCAGUGAAAUGCGUAGAGAUGUGGAGGAAUACCAAUGGCGAAGGCAGCCCCCUGGGUUAACACUGACGCUCAUGCACGAAAGCGUGGG